CGUACACUCCUGCGGGAGGCAGCAGUGGGGAAUAUUGCACAAUGGGCGCAAGCCUGAUGCAGCCAUGCCGCGUGUAUGAAGAAGGCCUUCGGGUUGUAAAGUACUUUCAGCGGGGAGGAAGGCGAUAAGGUUAAUAACCUUGUUGAUUGACGUUACCCGCAGAAGAAGCACCGGCUAACUCCGUGCCAGCAGCCGCGGUAAUACGGAGGGUGCAAGCGUUAAUCGGAAUUACUGGGCGUAAAGCGCACGCAGGCGGUCUGUCAAGUCGGAUGUGAAAUCCCCGGGCUCAACCUGGGAACUGCAUUCGAAACUGGCAGGCUAGAGUCUUGUAGAGGGGGGUAGAAUUCCAGGUGUAGCGGUGAAAUGCGUAGAGAUCUGGAGGAAUACCGGUGGCGAAGGCGGCCCCCUGGACAAAGACUGACGCUCAGGUGCGAAAGCGUGGGGAGCAAACAGGAUUAGAAACCCCUGUAGUCCCAUG
Molecule: ribosomal RNA, 478 nt
Filed under: uncultured organism
Description: partial 16S ribosomal RNA
Rfam family: Bacterial small subunit ribosomal RNA
Source: RNAcentral